UACGGGGGGUGCGAGCGUUGUCCGGAUUCACUGGGCGUAAAGGGCGCGUAGGCGGCCCGGUCAGUCGGGCCUGAAAGCCCGGGGCUCACCCCCGGGUCUGGGUCCGGGACGGCCGGGCUGGGCGGCGGUCGAGGGGGACGGAAUGCCGGGUGUAGUGGUGAAAUGCGUAGAGAUCCGGCGGAACACCGGUGGUGAAGACGGUCCCCUGGGCCGCGCGCGACGCUGAGGCGCGAGAGCGUGGGGAGCGAACCGG
This 253-nucleotide unclassified non-coding RNA is filed under the name uncultured Chloroflexota bacterium. RNAcentral describes it as "uncultured Chloroflexi bacterium contains 16S-23S intergenic spacer region". It matches the Rfam family "Bacterial small subunit ribosomal RNA", at positions 524 to 776 of the family's 1533-position model. Lineage: Bacteria; Bacillati; Chloroflexota. The record is from RNAcentral.